Molecule: long non-coding RNA, 350 nt
Organism: Lutra lutra (Eurasian river otter)
Lineage: Eukaryota; Metazoa; Chordata; Mammalia; Carnivora; Mustelidae
Exons: 2
Source: RefSeq, a predicted model, not a curated record
UUUACAACAUUGGUGGUUCCUCCAUGCCCUCAAGAUAACACCCACACUCCUUAAUAGAGCUAUGAGGCACUCAUUCAACCAGGAUUUAUUGAGCAGGCCCUCUGUGCCAGGAGGGAGCGCAUGCUUCAGAAACUGAAAAGAAGGUCCCAUCUCUGGAGUGGAGAGGGCAAGCGUGUGCCAUGUGAGAUGAGACCCCAGCGGUGAGGAGGGGUGAAGUCACACAGGGAGGGCCAUCAGGCCGUUCAGAGAAGAUGUCCUCCCUCUUCUCCAGUAUAUGCAAUUGAAUCAAUGUCGCUGGGCUUCCAGAUGAGGUGGAGACCAGGGAAAUACAAGCCAGAUCCUUGGACAAG